Cercocebus atys (sooty mangabey) is the source of this 2072-nucleotide long non-coding RNA. RefSeq lists it as uncharacterized. Lineage: Eukaryota; Metazoa; Chordata; Mammalia; Primates; Cercopithecidae. The transcript is spliced from 2 exons. The record is from RefSeq and is a predicted model, not a curated record.
CUGCAUAAAAUUACCUCCAGGCUUUGUGUAUAAAGUACAUAUAAAACAAAUGAAUUCUGUGUUUUGACUUGGGUCCCAACCCCAAGAUUGCUGAUGAUGUAAAAGCAAAUAUUACAAAAUUGAAAAAGGUAUGAAAUCCAAAACACUUCCAGUCCUAAGCAUUUCAGAUAAGGGAUAUUCAACCUGUAUCUGGGCACCCACACUGCAGGAGGACAGAGGGCCUCUGAGGGUGGUAAGGUCCAAGAGAGUGCUGAUCAGACGUGGUCACCCUGGCUGAAGUCCCUGAGAUGCUUCCUGCACUGCUGGUCAGGAAAAGGGAGAGCACAGCGAAGCGGAGGGAAACCUGAGGCAGUCACUAAGGACACACUAAGGCUGCAUUACCAUCACGCUGCCCAAAGCUAGCAUUCUGUUCCCCAAGUGAGCAUUCAAGGCAGCACAGACACAGGACAAAAAGUGGGUAAACGCAUUUUCCAACACUACAAAGCAAUGGGCUAUGGAAGCACUCCGAGGCUAGAAUAAAGCUCUGGGAAUGAUGUACAGAGAUACAGACUUUGCUAUCCUGAGAAAUGCAACUGAAAGAAGCAGUUUGCCCAACAGUACAUCUCCCCCCUUCCGGAGGAUUUAACUUGCAAACAUCUCAAGGGUUAGACUGGAAGGGCGGUGAUUCUAAUUAAGUUUCUUCUCCACUGCCUUCUUCCCCUAUCACCUCCAGGUUGUGCUGGUUCUGAAAGAGUAACUCUGAGGGGUCAUGAAAAUAGGUUUUUUUGGAGAAAGAAAAUUAUUUUCUCCAGUCCCUCCUUCAUGCCUCUCCAACUCACAAAAACACCUGGUCUCCAAUCGUAACUUCAAUGGAUUGGUCAGACAGCAGCAGCUGGCAUUAGCAAGUAUUUCUCUUCUCUGUGCUUGGAUUCCUCCCCCUAAGUCAGUUGGCCCCUGCCUUAGCACUGCUAGAUGCCAAGCUGCUGCUGCUGAUCACAACCAAGAUACCUGUGUAAUGGGUUACAGGACUGCAGGGCUGACUCUGAUCCUGGAAUGCUGUACUGGGCCCUGGGAGUCUGGAGCUCAGAGGAAAAGCAGCAGUUCUUUGCCAGACAGAUGACUGUCUCCAGUACAGGGACUUCAACCAUCUCUGCUAACUGAAAUGACGCCUGGAUGGAAACAUCAUUCUGAUGUAUUAUGCUCUUCUUUUCUGGGCGGUUAAUUCUAAUCCUACUAGACUGCCAAACAAAAGCCAUAACUAUUUGCUAGCUAGUGGGAUGGGUGUGUAAACACUGCCAUGGUGCAGCACCUGCUCUGGGCUGGUAACAGAAUAGGGAACAAGAUGUUGCCCUCAGGGGCUUACCAUAGAUGAACAAAACAUGACAACAUGCAUCAGGUGAUAGUAAAUGUCACGGAGAAAACCAAACAGGGUAAUGUGACUGAGGGUUCCUUGGGUUGGGGUUACUCUAGAAUGCCACCCGUGUGGAGCCCUGGAUGACAAACCAGAGCCUCCCGGGGGAGGAGCACUACAUAGAGACAGUGAGGCUGGCCUGCAGCGAGCUAGGGGAGAAGAGGACAGAGGAAAUGGUUUUCAUAGAUGCUAACCACAGCUGAGCCAUCUGUAAACCACAACAUUGUUUCUCUUUAACAAAUGAAAGAUUUUUACCCAUGGCAUCACUGACCAUCAAAAAGAAUUCCCAUCCUCCAUCUCUAGAGCAAGAAAAAACAGUAAGUAGAAUUUCUUUCCUUAAUCUGCUAGCCAGGGGUUGCUAAAACAGCCUUUUCAUUCAGAAAUGUAGUUUGUCCUCCAAGGUUCAUGUCACCCAUCCCUACUGCUAGGUGAUGUACAAACCCUUGAACAAGUCCAGUUUCUUUGCAUUCUGAGAACCCCUCGGAGCAUGCGCUUUUAUGUGACCAUGACUCACACUGGGUCAUAAUGUAAAACGUAUAACUAUGAUUGAAGGCCAAAAAGUUUGAAAGAGAUGCUUUAGCAUUCACUGGCUGGCAGACGAAGGUCUGUUGAAACAAAGCUGGCUGGCUCUGCCAGCACAGACUGAAGGAAUACUAGUUAAAAAAAGAAAAAAAAUCAAGUG